This 194-nucleotide ribosomal RNA is filed under the name Escherichia coli. Its description in RNAcentral is "partial 16S ribosomal RNA". It matches the Rfam family "Bacterial small subunit ribosomal RNA", at positions 1 to 188 of the family's 1533-position model. RNAcentral also lists the same sequence under 1 other name. The record is from RNAcentral. Lineage: Bacteria; Pseudomonadati; Pseudomonadota; Gammaproteobacteria; Enterobacterales; Enterobacteriaceae.
AAAUUGAAGAGUUUGAUCAUGGCUCAGAUUGAACGCUGGCGGCAGGCCUAACACAUGCAAGUCGAACGGUAACAGGAAGCAGCUUGCUGUUUCGCUGACGAGUGGCGGACGGGUGAGUAAUGUCUGGGAAACUGCCUGAUGGAGGGGGAUAACUACUGGAAACGGUAGCUAAUACCGCAUAACGUCGCAAGACC